Molecule: long non-coding RNA, 1332 nt
Organism: Triticum urartu
Lineage: Eukaryota; Viridiplantae; Streptophyta; Magnoliopsida; Poales; Poaceae
Source: RefSeq, a predicted model, not a curated record
UCCCUUCGCACGCCCGAUCCACCCCUUCGCCCCCGCUGGACAUCCAUCCCUGUGCCGCGACCGAUCCUAACUUUCGCCGUCUCCCUCGCACAUCAAAGCCGCCGCCCGUCCAUCGUACGAUCUGCUUCAGGAUCGCUUCAGGAGACGGCAAUCUAAUUCAGGAUCGCUUCAGGAGACGGCGCCGCGUUCCCUCUGGUCCAUGGCCUCGACCAGUUUGCUAUGAUCUGGCAACGGGGAUGCAAGGAGAAGCUGCUGCGGUUUCAAGGGGCCGUGAGGAUGCCCACCAUGAAGGCAUGUCUGGGAUGAUGGAGGUGAUAUCGGCCAGGUCCCGUUGCCGUCGACUGGCGGCGGCCACCGUGUCCUCUUCCAUGGCGUCGGCGGGGCCUUCCCCUGCCAAGCGCAGCGGCUCCUUGGCUAGAUCACCGUCGCACACCUCGCCGGCGUGGUCGGCAAGAUCUGCAUCUCGAUCCUCGCCACUCUCCGUCCUCUUGCAGGGGGCAGGUAUGCAUUCAGAUGUUGCAGCUCUAAGGAAGGGUAGUAUAUGGCACAUGGCAUCGUGGGUUGUUCGACAAGAAGUGUUUUGGGCAUAUUCGAAAGGCAAUCUUGUGAAAACUGUACAUCGAUUUUCUUAUUCCGCCAUCAGCUUCUAUUGAUAUGAGUGAUACAAAAAGUUCAGCAUGAAUUUUAGUAUGUUAACUUGCAAGAUUUCUCGUGGCUAUGUUUUUUUGUUAUAGGUUUAUAAAUUUCGAAAUAUAGUUGCAGCUUCACGGAAUGGACGGCCCAAAUUAUGUUAGUGUCUAUAUGUUUACUUGGUGGUGGUCUAGCGUGAGUGACACCUGCAUCUGUAACUUACCCAUUGGAUGUUGUUCGAAAUCACCUGACAACACAGAAAACCACUAGGUAUUACAAGGGCAUCUUUCACACGUUGUCUACAAUUUGUAGAGAAGAGAGUGGUAGAGGAUUGUAUAAAGGCCUUUGGUCCACCUUAUUGGGAGUUGGACCUGAUAUAUCAAUCAACGUUUAUUUAUAUGAAGCCUUGAGGUCUCAUUGGCAAAUGGAAAGUUGAAUGUCAAACUGUGCGACCAAUGAUUUGCUAUGGUUAAUUCUAGUUGGGUGUGUUAACCUACAGUAAUCAAUCAAGUCAACAAAUAUAACAAUGAUACUUUGUCUUCUGAUUUUUGGUGGUGAUUUUUUUUGUGACUGAACUAACAGGAGCUGAAGCAUGUGUUCUUAUUUUUUAUAUGACUAGGUGCAUAUGAACUGAAGCUCCAUAAUUUUCUUUUUAAGUCGACAUUGGUGGCAACCAAUACAAUUAGCGUUAUUUACAACCAA